CUUCCCUUACAUAUAAGACUAUAUUUGCAAUGCGGUAAUUUCGCAGAAAACGGUACAAUCGCCAAAAAAUCUUGUAAAAAGCUUCUGCUCUUCUGUAGUGUUGGACUACUAACUGUAAGGGUUUUGUAUCAGUAACACCUCUUUCUUCCUACUGGUUUUCUCUGUCAGCAUGCCUUGCAGAUAAAAUGGUUCUGUCACUCUGGCUUGUAAGCAGUUCUACCAGACGGUUAUGCUGUGUGCUGAGCGUGGACUGAAGUUCAGUACUCAGCUUGUGGAGAUAUAACUGGAGAUCCAUGGAGCAAGCUGCUACACAUAAGUGAGGAGAUGUACCGCACUGAUAAAAAAGAGGUACCACUAGCUGCAGACCGAAGGAGUGGAAGAGAGACUGCAACUGUUGCGCCGCCUGCUCCUCCGAGUCCAGGCCCCACCAUCGAGGAGGCCGAGAGGCGGCAUUUCCUAUUUAGUGCUGCAGGCGUCCGUGUGUGUGCAUUUUCACAACUGGCGCUUGCAGCGCCUCUUGCCGGGCCUUAUUUCUUUUUUCCUUUUAUUAAUUUUUUAUUACUGCACGCGCCAGUUUGUGUGCAUUUUUACAACUGGCGCCUGCAGUGCCUCUUGCUCGACCGGUCCGUUAAUUUGUAAUUUUAAUCUGCAAAAAACAACUGUACUUCUUGGGAAUCAAACCAGCGACCUUUCUCAUCGAGGUUCGUUCAUAAUAACAUCCGACCACGGAGCUGGAUCUGCUUU
Long non-coding RNA from Hordeum vulgare subsp. vulgare (domesticated barley), 744 nucleotides. RefSeq lists it as uncharacterized. The record is from RefSeq and is a predicted model, not a curated record. The transcript has 2 exons. NCBI's taxonomy places the organism in Eukaryota, Viridiplantae, Streptophyta, Magnoliopsida, Poales, Poaceae.